This 937-nucleotide long non-coding RNA is filed under the name Salvia miltiorrhiza (redroot sage). RNAcentral describes it as "long non-coding RNA (SMIL_LNC001094)". The record is from RNAcentral. Lineage: Eukaryota; Viridiplantae; Streptophyta; Magnoliopsida; Lamiales; Lamiaceae.
CAUCAUUCACAAAACUAUCAACAUAUUCACAUAUACACCUUUCUCAUACAAAACUAUCACAAAAUCGUAAAAUCACAUAUAAUAUAAGCGAAUUAUUGCCACAAAAUCAGUAAGUUAUAAAUGGCCAGAAAUCAAACUAUCUUAGAACUAUUCGGAUAUACCAAAAUUUCUCCUAAUUAUGUAUGCCAUCCAGCAUGUAAAAAGCAAUCGACUAAAAAUGCUCAAAAAAUCUGCAUAGACACAAACGAAUCCAGCAAGCACAAUCAAAAUCCGAUUUUGUAAACUAAGCGCAACAGAAUGAAGAAAGAAAAAGUCAAAAAUCAACUGAUAUUUUACUGAAAUUGAAAAACCCACGAGAGUAAACAAUCAGCUACACUAAUCAGACAAAGGUACUUCAUCAAAACUCAAACUUGCACAAGAUUUUCCGUCCCAUUAUAAAAAUUGAAUUUUUAAAGUAUAGCCAGUUGGUAAACUCACCGAGUACUGAAAAGGAGCAGCGCAGCUGAUGCGAAGCUCCUUGGAUGCGUGAAGUUGGAGAAAAUGAGAGUGGAAAUCUGGAAAUGUGAGAAGAAGGAGAAGAUUUAGAUGUAGAAUUUAAAGUAGUGGUGGUGAUGGUGGCGAAGGAAUAGGCGGGCAGCGCCGGUGGGUGGUGGUGGCGACCGCGCGAAGGAAGAAAGCGUCGAGGGGCGGCGACGUGCGAGCGCGAGGCAACGGAGACGGGCGGGCGCGAUGCAGCGUACUCUCAGGCCUCAGCAGUCAGCAACGUCUUUCACAGCAACGUACUUUCAGCGGCGGCGAUAGGCCGGCGCGGGGCAGCGGCACCGGCGGCGGAGUCGAGAAGGGAGAGAGUCGAGAGACAAUACUCAGCAGGAGGCAGCGCCGCAGCAGGAAGAAAGAGACGAAAAAUUAGGGCUAGGAGGAGUUUUAGGGAUUUGGG